This is a non-coding RNA of Nothobranchius furzeri (turquoise killifish), 991 nucleotides long. The record is from RefSeq and is a predicted model, not a curated record. Lineage: Eukaryota; Metazoa; Chordata; Actinopteri; Cyprinodontiformes; Nothobranchiidae.
AGUAUUGAGUGGUACUGGACUUCUGUAAAAAUAAUUUUCAUAGGGAUGAAAAAAGUACUCUGUCUGCCUGUCCUAAAUAACAUAUUAAGCAUGAAAUUACGAAUUAUUGUGAAAUUACACGCACAGGAAGUGCUUUUAUUUUGUAGCAUUUGCUCAGUCGGCUCUCGAAGCUUCUCAGCAGACCGAGAAGAGCAAAGGUUGGAGGUGCAUUAACCGUCGGAGGUCGCGCUUCUGUUCUGCAUCUGCACUUGACAGUCACUGGUUCUGCACCACUGAGCUAAAUAUGUGUAAAUGUAGAGCAUCUGCGUUCCUAUGAGCUGUCAGCCACACCGGGAAGCCUGUCUAUGAAUCUGCAGUCAGACUUCACUGAUCCAACCCCACUCUCUGCACACAAGAUUGAUGGCAUGCUGCUGUUGACCCCCAAGAGGUUCAUACAAGGGAGACCACUGGAAUUACAUGAUGUCCACACAAGGCGUACCACUGUUCUCCAUGCCCAUCCAGUCUAUCUACUUGAGGAAACCUCUGGGUUUUUGAGGACAUGUGUGGAUGAUACCAAUGAGCCGGACCUUAGGGAUGCAGCAGUUGUCCUCCUGACAACCAUCACCGAUGAUGCAGAGAGUCCAGUUACGUACGACCCAGUGAGAAUCUGUUAUCCUAGAGGGUGAUGUGAUUGUCGACCUCUCCAGGCUUCCUGAUGCCUUCCUGGGCAUGCUCAGUUGAAGUUUCCAUCUCUGCGCGUUCAAGAUGUAAGAAAAAUAAUACGAAAGAAAUGCAACAAUGAAAACUUCAAAAAGGCAUCAACAACCAAGCAAGUGGAUCCAUAAAAUGGACUGAUUUUUUUAAAGGCAUUUUUAAAAAGUCUUUCAAAAUGGACAGAAUUAACGCGUCAUGUUCAGAACAGUUUGCGUUCUCAUCUUUGAUUAAUCCUGGUAAACAGGUCUGUUUUUGUUCUGUUCUAAUUCUCUCUGUUUAAUAAAUUUAAACAAAAUGA